Molecule: ribosomal RNA, 400 nt
Filed under: uncultured bacterium
Lineage: Bacteria
Description: bacterial SSU rRNA
Rfam family: Bacterial small subunit ribosomal RNA
Source: RNAcentral
CAGGCCUUGACAUGCACUAGACUGACACUGAAAGGUGUUUUUCCUUCGGGACUAGUGCACAGGUGCUGCAUGGCUGUCGUCAGCUCGUGUCGUGAGAUGUUGCGUUAAGUCGCGCAACGAGCGCAACCCCUGUCCUUAGUUGCCAUCAGGUAAAGCUGGGCACUCUAGGGAGACAAACCCUCUCUGAGGGUGGGAAGGUGGGGAUGACGUCAAGUCAGGAUGGCCCUUACGGCCUGGGCUGCACACGUGCUACAAUGCCCGGUACAGAGGGAAGCAAGACCGCGAGGUGGAGCAAAUCCUCAAAACCGGGCCCAGUUCAGAUUGCAGUCUGCAACUCGACUGCAUGAAGCCGGAAUCGCUAGUAAUGGCGUAUCAGCUACGACGCCGUGAAUACGUUCCC